AGAGUUUGAUCCUGGCUCAGAACGAACGCUGGCGGCAUGCUUAACACAUGCAAGUCGAACGGACUUGUGGAGCUUGCUCUACAAGUUAGUGGCAGACGGGUGAGUAACGCGUGGGAAUGUACCUUUUGGUUCGGAAUAACUGCGGGAAACUGUGGCUAAUACCGGAUGAGCCCUUAGGGGGAAAAAGAUUUAUCGCCAAGAGAGCAGCCCGCGUUAGAUUAGGUUGUUGGUGGGGUUAAGGGCCCACCCAGGCCAACAAUCUAUAAGCUGGGUCCGGAAGAAGGAUUGAAUUCAGCCCACCACCUGGGGAACCUGGAAGAACACCGGGGCCCCCAAGAAACUUCCCCUACCGGGGGAACGGGCCAAGCCCAGGNUGAGGGGGAAAAUUAUUUUGGGUACCAAAUUGGGGGGGGGCAACAACCCCCUGCACUCCCAGC
Molecule: ribosomal RNA, 437 nt
Filed under: uncultured bacterium
Lineage: Bacteria
Description: partial 16S ribosomal RNA
Rfam family: Bacterial small subunit ribosomal RNA
Source: RNAcentral